Molecule: long non-coding RNA, 1862 nt
Organism: Cynoglossus semilaevis (tongue sole)
Lineage: Eukaryota; Metazoa; Chordata; Actinopteri; Pleuronectiformes; Cynoglossidae
Exons: 2
Source: RefSeq, a predicted model, not a curated record
UUGUUUGUUUUUUUUUGCUCAAAAUAUCACUUCGUACUAAUGAACCAGCAGCUGUGCAAACAUUCAUUUUCUUCUCCACAGUUACUGAUUUACACACUGAGUGGUGUCUGAUAUGGUCACUGGUGUAUGAACACCACUUGAUUGGACAAUUGUGUCCAUGAUGCAAAGUAUAUGUAACAGUAUUCUGAGUAUGAUGAGGAAAUUAAAAUUUUUUUUUACAUUCUAAAUACAGUAGGGUCUAUUUUCAAAUGUAUUUUUCUAUGUAGUACUCCAAUAAUAGUACGUGACCAUGACCUGCAGUAUUAUGAGUUGAAAAAUCUCAGCUUAAAAUGUGUCAUGGAAACCACAGGCCUGUAAUAGAAAACAAAAGAUAAACACUUUCAGAAAUCAAUACCACUGGGCUGGAUAUAAUGAAAUAUAUAUUUGGUAAUAUUUGGUAACAAAUAAAACAAAGAUAGGCACUCCCUGUGUGAAGUACAAGCCUUUUUCUUCAGACUGAUUAAAACGGUUAUGAUAAAAAAAAAAAUUACAAACUUGAAACAACAGUCAAUGUUUCUCUCGUAUAACAAAAAGCGUUCACACGGAAAUGCACAAUAUUUCUUCUCUUACACGUCUCUAUAUUGAGCAUUAACAAAGCUGAGGUAAAAUCACUGGCUGUCUGCAGCUUUUUGAGGAGAUUACACCGUGAACAACAACGCUGGCAGAAAUAACGUCACCCUGGAAGUGUGAGGCAAACACGCCCCCUUCUGAAAGGAACGCCUUCAAAAAAAAGGACUUUGAUUGUAAGAUAUUUGGAGUCACAAGUAAUGCGCCACUUCCAGGCUGAUUCGUCAAAUAAGGCCUUGUGACUCUAGUGCGACGAGUGGAACAUUUAAAUUAAAAAAAUUAAAAUAAAAAAAAGAACUGCAUGGAGGAGGUAGAGAGGGCUGGAAGGAGGUAAGGAGAUUGUGGAGGAACAGCGCAUAUGAGGUAGGCUUUUUGCUGUAAACAAAAAAAAAAAAAAAAAACACAGUUUGUAGUAAACAGAAAUUAAAGGAACUUAUUCAAAUCUGGAAAGGAAGGAAGGCCAGGGAGUCUGUGGCAACACUAGGGAACUUCUCACACAACACCUCAGUACAACAUCAACCUACUGUUAACCAAAAAUAACACAGAAAAAAAAGGAACGUACAACUAUGUUUAUAACUCAAGAGGUAGUUGCUAACAUCAGUAAAUGAACUGCUUCUGUCUGUUUGUCCUUGUUUAACAGAGUUGUUGGAUCAGUCAGUGGAUGAUUACCAAAAGAACGUAAUAUAUUUUUGGUUAAUUCCCUGAGAACAGUGCAUCAUCCUGAGAGGAAUUGCUGAAGCAGCGGCGGCAGCAGCAGUCGUGACCAUGGUGCCGUCUCAGUCUACAGAGCAUCACCAGGCCUCCGUAGCAAAGGUAAGCACAGACGGGAGAUUAACACCGUCCUGCACUUCCACGGUUCUGAGAGGACAAGGAAAAUGUUGAGGUAUUGGAGUGGAGCAGCUGUGAAGAUGAUUACACCAGGAAUCAAACACACUGUGUAAACCAGACAAAUGUCCACCGGUGACCAAAUGAUACGAGGACGAGCCAAGAGAGACCCAGGUUUACCUCAAGACAGAGGUGUGUGUGUGUGUGCGUGUGUGUAAUUAAAUGAAUCUUUACGAGAAACAAGUCACAGUCAUUCCCUGCAGUCACCAGUCCAGUGGUGGUUGUCUUCAGCUGUCAGUCAGUCAGUCAGUCGGUUGGUCAGUGAGUCAGUCGGUUGGUCGGUCAGUCAGUCAGUCAGUCACAUGCACAUGUCCGUACCCCAUUGAUCGUUGCCAUAGCUGCGCUGGUUAGAAAAACAUGAGUAAAAAAAA